AUUGAACGCUGGCGGCAGGCCUAACACAUGCAAGUCGAGCGGAGGAAGGUAGUUUUCUCCUGGAUUCAGCGGCGGACGGGUGAGUAAUUCCUAGGAAUCUGCCUGGUAGUGGAGGAUAACGCCCGGAAACGGGCGGAAAUAUCGCAUACGUUAUGAAGGAGAAAGUGGGGGUUCUUCGGACCUAACUCUAUCUGAUGAGCCUAGGUCGGAUUAGGUAGUUGGUUGGGUAAAGGCCUACGAAGACGACGAUCCGUGACUGGCCUGAGAGGAUGAUCAGUGACUCUGGAACUGAGACACGCUCCAGCCUCCUAGGGGAGGAACGAGUGGGGAAUUUUGGACAUUGGGCGAAAGCCUGAUGCAGCCAUGCCCGGUAUAUUAGGAAGGUCUUCGGUCUUUAAACCACUUUAAGUUGGGAGGACGGUCAUUAAGUUAGUAACCUGAUGUUUUGACGUUACCAACAGAGUAAGCACCGGCUAACUUCGUG
RNAcentral lists this ribosomal RNA (484 nucleotides) under uncultured bacterium. Its description in RNAcentral is "partial 16S ribosomal RNA". It matches the Rfam family "Bacterial small subunit ribosomal RNA", at positions 30 to 507 of the family's 1533-position model. The record is from RNAcentral.